RNAcentral lists this ribosomal RNA (253 nucleotides) under uncultured bacterium. RNAcentral's name for it is "partial 16S ribosomal RNA". It matches the Rfam family "Bacterial small subunit ribosomal RNA", at positions 524 to 776 of the family's 1533-position model. The record is from RNAcentral.
UACGAAGGGGGCAAGCGUUGUUCGGAAUUACUGGGCGUAAAGGGCGCGUAGGCGGCCGAUCAAGUCAGGCGUGAAAUUCCCGGGCUCAACCUGGGGGCUGCGCUUGAUACUGAUUGGCUUGAAUGCGGGAGAGGAUAGUGGAAUUCCCGGUGUAGUGGUGAAAUGCGUAGAUAUCUGGAGGAACACCGGUGGCGAAGGCGGCAUCCUGGACCGGCAUUGACGCUGAGGCGCGAAAGCUAGGGGAGCAAACAGG